This is a long non-coding RNA of Cyprinus carpio (common carp), 795 nucleotides long. NCBI's taxonomy places the organism in Eukaryota, Metazoa, Chordata, Actinopteri, Cypriniformes, Cyprinidae. The record is from Ensembl.
AUGUCAAAACAAUUUACACGUUUUUUUUUUUUUUUUUAUCCCAAUGAUCUUUAUGUGUUGCAAUUUAUCACAAUCCUUCCACGUUCAGUAUGGACGUGUGUUAAAGCGCACUGUUCAACCCACAUAUUUUUUCUGAGGAGUUUCCUCACAAGAACUGAAGAAAGCAGCCACAGAUUCACACAUUUCACCAGUGCGAUAAUGAUUCGCCUGAUUGUGUUGGCGUUGACCCUUAAUAUAGUUGUUGGCAGCGAUGAACUCACCUUCGUCACCGCAAGUUGCAGAGAUGACAUAACGUUACACUGUACUUUCCAUAAAACCUGUCAGAACUACACCUCUGUUACGUGGUACAAGUUCCACAAUAACAGCAGUGACAGAGCUACAAAAAUGACAAUCGUCAUAAAAUCAGAAAAUGUCAUCCAGACUGAUAAGCAUAACAAUUCUGUGUCACUGGAUAAAAAUGCAUCUUUGGUCUUAAGGAAAGUUGCUCCUGCCAAUUCUGGGAUCUACAUGUGUUUAACAAGAGCCAAAGCUGGAGGAACGAACUGUCAAAAACGGGUUAGACUUAAUAUCUCAGAUUGUGUGUCAACAGCUUCACCCAUCAUCUUUGAUUUCUCCACCGCGUUUAUUAAUGAAUCAUGGGCAAACAUUGGCAUCCCAUUGCCUCAUGUAAAUGAUGAUUCAGUGCUCUUUGUCCUUUGGGGUUGUGUAGGAUUAGCUCUGAGUAAACUUGUCCUCAGUGCCAUUUGCAUAUGGGUUUUCAAGGAACUCAGUAAACUUAAAAGAAGACAGACUUAA